CUGAAGGAGUCUUCUGCAGAGGACAAAGUGUGGACUUCAUUUCAUCACCAUUCAAUUCAGGACAAGGAAACUGAGACUGAGACUGGGUGAUGAGUGGUAACUGCUCACAAACUGGUCUUCUGUGUUUACAGGUGGUCCCUGUCAUGAAAUACAUUGUAUUAUUCUAUCAUCUUUAUCAUAUAACUCCUGUCACCCCCGUCCUAGUUUUUUAACAAGGUUGGCGUGAAGGAGGGGGAUCAGUGUCAGCCUACCUACGUCUACCCUAAAGAGGUGAAGAUGUUGAUACGGUCUGCCUUUCCAGAGGACAUCUGUGACUAUCCAGAUCCCUGCCAUGAUAAGAUCCACUGUAAAGAGGGGAAAACGGGAAGACCUAGAAAUGUUCU
Astatotilapia calliptera (eastern happy) is the source of this 383-nucleotide long non-coding RNA. The record is from Ensembl. Lineage: Eukaryota; Metazoa; Chordata; Actinopteri; Cichliformes; Cichlidae.